RNAcentral lists this ribosomal RNA (463 nucleotides) under Pseudomonas sp. DCB_Q. RNAcentral's name for it is "bacterial SSU rRNA". It matches the Rfam family "Bacterial small subunit ribosomal RNA", at positions 337 to 797 of the family's 1533-position model. The record is from RNAcentral. Lineage: Bacteria; Pseudomonadati; Pseudomonadota; Gammaproteobacteria; Pseudomonadales; Pseudomonadaceae.
UCCUACGGGGGGCAGCAGUAAGGAAUAUUGGUCAAUGGUCGCAAGACUGAACCAGCCAUGCCGCGUGCAGGAAGACGGUCCUAUGGAUUGUAAACUGCUUUUAUACAGGAAGAAACCCUCCCACGUGUGGGAGCUUGACGGUACUGUAGGAAUAAGGAUCGGCUAACUCCGUGCCAGCAGCCGCGGUAAUACGGAGGAUCCAAGCGUUAUCCGGAAUCAUUGGGUUUAAAGGGUCCGUAGGCGGUCUUAUAAGUCAGUGGUGAAAGCCCAUCGCUCAACGAUGGAACUGCCAUUGAUACUGUAAGACUUGAAUGCUUAGGAAGUAACUAGAAUAUGUAGUGUAGCGGUGAAAUGCUUAGAUAUUACAUGGAAUACCAAUUGCGAAGGCAGGUUACUACUAAGUGAUUGACGCUGAUGGACGAAAGCGUGGGGAGCGAACAGGAUUAGAUACCCUGGUAGUCCG